CUAAAUACUACCCAGUGACCGAUAGCGUAUAGUACUGUGAAGGAAAGGUGAAAAGAACCCCGGGAGGGGAGUGAAAAGAACCUGAAACCUUGUGCUUACAAGCACACAAAGCACGUCAACGUGUGAUGUGGUACCUUUUGUAGAAUGGUCCGGCGAGUGAAUGUAACUGGCGAGGUUAAGUUCUUAAGGAACGGAGCCGAAGCGAAAGCAAGUCUGAAUAGGGCGUCUUAGUCAGUUGUAUUCGACCCGAAACCGGGUGACCUAUCCAUGUCCAGGAUGAAGUUAAGGUAAAACUUGAUGGAGGUCCGAACCCACGGUCGUUGAAAUGCCCGGGGAUGAGAUGUGGAUAGCGGAGAAAUUCCAAUCGAACCCGGAUAUAGCUGGUUCUCUCCGAAAUAGCUUUAGGGCUAGCCUCGACUGAACAUUACCGGAGGUAGAGCACUGAAUGGGCUAGGGGCCGAGAGGUUACUGAACCCUAUCAAACUUCAAAUGCCGGAAAAUGAUAGUCGGGAGUCAGACUGCGUGAGAUAAGUUUCGUAGUCGAAAGGGAAACAGCCCAGACCCACAGCUAAGGUCCCAAAGUACGGUUAAGUGGAAAAGGAUGUGGAGUUGCACAGACAACCAGGAUGUUGGCUUAGAAGCAGCCACUCAUUAAAAGAGUGCGUAAUAGCUCACUGGUCGAGUGACUCUGCGCCGAAAAUUUAACGGGGCUAAAUCGUACACCGAAGCUUGGGAUGCAUCUAUGAUGCAUGGUAGGAGAGCGUUGAAUGCGGGGUGAAGUCAGAGCGAAAGCGCUGGUGGACUGCAUUGAAGUGAGAAUGCCGGAAUGAGUAGCGAGAUUUAUGUGAGAAUCAUAAAGGCCGAAAGACUAAGGUUUCAGAAGGAAGGUUCGUCCGCUUCUGGUUAGCCGGGAGCUAAGGUGAGGCCGAAAGGCGUAGCCGAUGCACAUACGGUGGAGAUUCCGUAGCCGUCGAAAUAUUUAAGCAAAGGGACACUUAUGAAGGACAUGACCCGGGCGAUGGUAGCCCCGGGCGUAAGGGACUGAAAACAAGUAAGGAAGCAUGUUUGGAUUAAGGCGAGAAAAGCUUUGUGUAUAUAUGAGACGUCCGUACCGCAAACCGACACAGGUAGUCAGGAAGAGGAUUCUAAGGCCAACGGGAGAAGGGUAGUUAAGGAACUCGGCAAAUUGACCCCGUAACUUCGGGAUAAGGGGCGGUGCGUAAGCACCCGCAGUGAAUAGGUCCAGGCGACUGUUUAUCAAAAACACAGCUCUCUGCUAAAUCGAAAGAUGACGUAUAGGGGGUGACACCUGCCCGGUGCUGGAAGGUUAAGAGGAGGAGUGCAAGCUCCGAAUUGAAGCCCCAGUAAACGGCGGCCGUAACUAUAACGGUCCUAAGGUAGCGAAAUUCCUUGUCGGGUAAGUUCCGACCCGCACGAAUGGUGUAACGAUCUGGACGCUGUCUCAACUGCCCACCCGGCGAAAUUGUAGUACCGGUGAAGAUGCCGGUGGUGGUCAUUGCCACGGUGGAAGGAGAUAUCCAUGAUAUCGGCAAGAAUCUGGUGGCACUGAUGUUAAAAAACCACGGAUUCCAUGUGAUCGAUCUGGGCAAGGAUGUGCCGCAGGCGAAAAUUCUGGAGUCGGCGAAAGAACAUCAUGCGGAAUUUAUUGCCCUGUCAGCACUGAUGACCACCACCAUGCAGAGAAUGCGGGAGAUCGUGGCAGCCGCAAAAGAAGAAGGCAUCACCGCCAAGAUCAUCAUCGGCGGCGCUGUCAUUACGCAGGAAUAUGCGGAUGAGAUCGGUGCCGACGGCUAUUCCAAGGAUGCGGCGGAUGCCGUUAAACUGGCCAAAAGCCUGAUGUAAAAGAGUCUGAAACAACAGAAAUAAUGGAGUAUAGAUAAAGGAGCAAAGCAAAAUGAUUGGAGCAGAUGCGAUUAUUAAAUGUCUGGAAGCAGAGGGGGUAAGUACUGUUUUCGGAUAUCCCGGUGUUGCCAUAUGUCCUUUUUUCAACAGCAUUCUGGAUUCUGACAUCAAAACGGUGUUGAUCCGUACAGAACAGAACGCGGCCCAUGCGGCCAGCGGUGUUGCCCGUAUGACCGGAAGACCCGGUGUAUGUGCGGUGACCUCCGGCCCCGGUGCCACCAAUGUGAUCACCGGUAUUGCCACGGCAUUUGCUGACAGUAUCCCCAUGAUCUGCAUUACCGGUCAGGUCAACAGUGAACUGCUGGGCAGUGAUGUGUUCCAGGAGGCGGAUAUUACCGGCGCCGUGGAAUCUUUUGU
Molecule: ribosomal RNA, 2280 nt
Filed under: human gut metagenome
Description: bacterial LSU rRNA
Rfam family: Bacterial large subunit ribosomal RNA (bases 1-1542)
Source: RNAcentral